This 104-nucleotide small nuclear RNA is filed under the name Choloepus hoffmanni (Hoffmann's two-fingered sloth). Lineage: Eukaryota; Metazoa; Chordata; Mammalia; Pilosa; Megalonychidae. The record is from RNAcentral.
GUGCUCACUUCGGCAACACAUAUACUAAAACUGGAACAAUACAGAGAUUAGCAUGGCCCAUGCACAAGUGUGACAUGUAAACUCGUGAAGUGUUCCAUAUUAAA